UACGUAGGUGGCAAGCGUUGUCCGGAAUCACUGGGCGUAAAGCGCGCGUAGGCGGUCUGUUAAGUGGGAUGUGAAAUCCCCGGGCUUAACCUGGGAAUUGCAUUUCAAACUGGCCGACUAGAGUACGGUAGAGGGAGGUAGAAUUUCCUGUGUAGCGGUGAAAUGCGUAGAUAUAGGAAGGAAUACCAGUGGCGAAGGCGGCCUCCUGGAUCGAUACUGACGCUGAGGCGCGAAAGCGUGGGGAGCAAACAGG
This 253-nucleotide ribosomal RNA is filed under the name uncultured bacterium. Its description in RNAcentral is "partial 16S ribosomal RNA". It matches the Rfam family "Bacterial small subunit ribosomal RNA", at positions 524 to 776 of the family's 1533-position model. The record is from RNAcentral.